CGCGUUGGCCCAAUUGAUUGAUGGUGCUUGCACCUGAUUGAUUUUGGUCGCCAACGAGUGGCGGACGGGUGAGUAACACGUAGGUAACCUGCCCAGAAGCGGGGGACAACAUUUGGAAACAGAUGCUAAUACCGCAUAACAACGUUGUUCGCAUGAACAACGCUUAAAAGAUGGCUUCUCGCUAUCACUUCUGGAUGGACCUGCGGUGCAUUAGCUUGUUGGUGGGGUAACGGCCUACCAAGGCGAUGAUGCAUAGCCGAGUUGAGAGACUGAUCGGCCACAAUGGGACUGAGACACGGCCCAUACUCCUACGGGAGGCAGCAGUAGGGAAUCUUCCACAAUGGGCGCAAGCCUGAUGGAGCAACACCGCGUGAGUGAAGAAGGGUUUCGGCUCGUAAAGCUCUGUUGUUAAAGAAGAACACGUAUGAGAGUAACUGUUCAUACGUUGACGGUAUUUAACCAGAAAGUCACGGCUAACUACGUGCCAGCAGCCGCGGUAAUACGUAGGUGGCAAGCGUUAUCCGGAUUUAUUGGGCGUAAAGAGAGUGCAGGCGGUUUUCUAAGUCUGAUGUGAAAGCCUUCGGCUUAACCGGAGAAGUGCAUCGGAAACUGGAUAACUUGAGUGCAGAAGAGGGUAGUGGAACUCCAUGUGUAGCGGUGGAAUGCGUAGAUAUAUGGAAGAACACCAGUGGCGAAGGCGGCUACCUGGUCUGCAACUGACGCUGAGACUCGAAAGCAUGGGUAGCGAACAGGAUUAGAUACCCUGGUAGUCCAUGCCGUAAACGAUGAGUGCUA
This 795-nucleotide ribosomal RNA is filed under the name Lactiplantibacillus plantarum. RNAcentral's name for it is "bacterial SSU rRNA". It matches the Rfam family "Bacterial small subunit ribosomal RNA", at positions 38 to 818 of the family's 1533-position model. The record is from RNAcentral. Lineage: Bacteria; Bacillati; Bacillota; Bacilli; Lactobacillales; Lactobacillaceae.